GUAGGCUGAAACUCGCCUACAUGAAGCUGGAGUUACUAGUAAUCGCAGAUCAGAAUGCUGCGGUGAAUGCGUUCCCGGGUCUUGUACACACCGCCCGUCACACCACGGAAGUUGGGGCGCCCGAAGCCACUUAGCUAACCCUUUUGGGAAGCGAGUGUCGAAGGUGAAAUCAAUAACUGGGGUGAAGUCGUAACAAGGUAUC
This 202-nucleotide ribosomal RNA is filed under the name uncultured bacterium. Its description in RNAcentral is "partial 16S ribosomal RNA". It matches the Rfam family "Bacterial small subunit ribosomal RNA", at positions 1300 to 1500 of the family's 1533-position model. The record is from RNAcentral.